This 490-nucleotide ribosomal RNA is filed under the name uncultured bacterium. RNAcentral describes it as "bacterial SSU rRNA". It matches the Rfam family "Bacterial small subunit ribosomal RNA", at positions 27 to 507 of the family's 1533-position model. The record is from RNAcentral.
GAACGAACGCUGGCGGCGCGUCUUAAGCAUGCAAGUCGAACGGCAAGAUUAGUGCUUGCACUAAUCCUAGAGUGGCGGACUGGUGAGUAACGCGUGGGUGACGUACCCUUCUGAUGGGGAUAGCUACUAGAAAUAGUAGAUAAUACCGAAUACGAUUCCGUAAGUUAGAGGUGCGGAAUGAAAGGAGCUUCGGCUCCGCGGAAGGAACGGCCCGCGUACCAUUAGCUAGUUGGUGUGGUAACGGCAUACCAAGGCGAUGAUGGUUACCCGGCCUAAGAGGGUGAUCGGGCACAUUGGGACUGAGAUACGGCCCAGACUCCUACGGGAGGCAGCAGCUAAGAAUAUUGGUCAAUGGACGAGAGUCUGAACCAGCCAAGUAGCGUGAAGGAUGACUGCCCUAUGGGUUGUAAACUUCUUUUGUUUGGGAAUAAAGUGAGGGACGUGUCCCUUUUUGUAUGUACCAUUCGAAUAAGCAUCGGCUAAUUCCGUG